Molecule: small nuclear RNA, 23 nt
Filed under: Arabidopsis thaliana (thale cress)
Lineage: Eukaryota; Viridiplantae; Streptophyta; Magnoliopsida; Brassicales; Brassicaceae
Description: snRNA_05782
Source: RNAcentral
UACGUUUCCAUCCGGACUAACCG